This 379-nucleotide long non-coding RNA is filed under the name Homo sapiens (human). Its description in RNAcentral is "HSALNT0258262". Lineage: Eukaryota; Metazoa; Chordata; Mammalia; Primates; Hominidae. The record is from RNAcentral.
GACAAUAAUAACACAUAACACGCUAGUCUUCGUCCUGCCUGGUCAGGGAGGAAAGCUUUGACCAUCUGCUCCCUGCAAUUGGAGUGCCCCCAGCUAUGAUCCACCAGCAAUCGCUUAUCCCUGCCACUCAGCCAUUUAUCAGUACUGUCCUGUCUAAAUCCCAAAAUACAAAAGCUGUACUCCCCCUAGAGGAACAAAACCUUCUGAGAUUCGGUGCUGGAUUGAUCCCAAAUACCAAUUUACUUCCCCUGAACGAACCUCGAGCUCUGCUUGCCCAACAAUGGUACCACUAGAGGUCAGCUGUGGAGGGUUACAGAGCAGCUCCACCACUUCAUCCCACACAGACCCUGCCAACCACGGCAGAAUGGAGAGGAGCCCC